UGGGGAAUCUUGGACAAUGGGCGCAAGCCUGACGCAGCCAUGCCGCGUGUAUGAUGAAGGUCUUAGGAUUGUAAAAUACUUUCACCGGUGAAGAUAAUGACUGUAGCCGGAGAAGAAGCCCCGGCUAACUUCGUGCCAGCAGCCGCGGUAAUACGAAGGGGGCUAGCGUUGCUCGGAAUUACUGGGCGUAAAGGGAGCGUAGGCGGACAUUUAAGUCAGAGGUGAAAUCCCGGAGCUUAACUUCGGAACUGCCUUUGAUACUGGGUGUCUUGAGUGUGAGAGAGGUAUGUGGAACUCCGAGUGUAGAGGUGAAAUUCGUAGAUAUUCGGAAGAACACCAGUGGCGAAGGCGACAUACUGGCUCAUUACUGACGCUGAGGCUCGAAAGCGUGGGGAGCAAACAGGAUUAGAUACCCAAGUAGUCCCUGAGCGGGCUGGCAAGGCGCAU
This 447-nucleotide ribosomal RNA is filed under the name uncultured bacterium. RNAcentral's name for it is "bacterial SSU rRNA". It matches the Rfam family "Bacterial small subunit ribosomal RNA", at positions 355 to 825 of the family's 1533-position model. The record is from RNAcentral.